Molecule: ribosomal RNA, 253 nt
Filed under: uncultured bacterium
Lineage: Bacteria
Description: partial 16S ribosomal RNA
Rfam family: Bacterial small subunit ribosomal RNA
Source: RNAcentral
UACGGGGGGGGCAAGCGUUGUUCGGAAUUACUGGGCGUAAAGGGUUCGUAGGUGGCCUGCUAAGUCAAACGUGAAAUCCCUCAGCUUAACUGGGGAACUGCGUCUGAGACUGGUGGGCUUGAGUGCAGGAGAGGAACGCGGAAUUCCAGGUGUAGCGGUGAAAUGCGUAGAUAUCUGGAGGAACACCGGUGGCGAAGGCGACGUCCUGGACCGGCAUUGACGCUGAGGCGCGAAAGCCAGGGGAGCAAACGGG